Molecule: ribosomal RNA, 253 nt
Filed under: uncultured bacterium
Lineage: Bacteria
Description: partial 16S ribosomal RNA
Rfam family: Bacterial small subunit ribosomal RNA
Source: RNAcentral
UACGUAGGGGGCUAGCGUUGCUCGGAAUUACUGGGCGUAAAGGGUGCGUAGGCGGAUAGGUUAGUCAGAGGUGAAAGCCCAGGGCUCAACCUUGGAACAGCCUUUGAUACUGGCUAUCUUGAGUACGGGAGAGGUGAGUGGAACUCCGAGUGUAGAGGUGAAAUUCGUAGAUAUUCGGAAGAACACCGGUGGCGAAGGCGACUCACUGGCCCGUUACUGACGCUGAGGCUCGAAAGCGUGGGGAGCAAACAGG